AGGUUUACACAAAACCCAUCUCAGGAAACAAGUGUCUGGCUUUAGUUACUUAUUAACUGAGUGGCCACCUCUUUAAACAAAAUUCACUAAUGAUUUCUGUGAUGACACAUCAUUCAUUGGGCCAACAAGAUAGAAAAGACAGCGUCUCUGACCACGGAAGGGACAUGACAGAAAUGCUGUCAUGAUAUUUAUAUUCCACCUACUCGAAAGACCAAUUGAGAAACUCCAUAUGGACUCCAGUUUGCCACUAGCCCACAGAAUUGAAGUUUCUUAGCUGGCUUAAAUUAAGAAUUUUGGCUUUAUUAACAUAUUUAUUAAUAUACAGUACAUUACACACACUCAAUGUGUACAAUUUGAUGAUGGACAUAUUCAUACACCUGUGAAACCACCACCAGAAAUCAAGAGAGCAGCCCUGAUAUGUUGUGGGAAAUGACCAAAGAAAAACUCUUACAUGUUACACCAGGAAAGAUCUGUUUCUGAACUGUUGAAAUGAGUCUUUAAGGCCAACUUCAAAAAUUGUAUCUGUUAUGACUCCCCUGGAAUGGGACCUGUGAGUGAGAUGCUGGUGCUUGUGGCAUCUCAGGGACUGGUGCCCUUAUGAGAAGACAAUGAGACACCAGAGCCUUCUGUCUGCCAUGUGAGAACACAGUGAGAAGGUGGCCAUUUGCAAACCAGGAAAAGAUCCCUCACCAGAACCUGACCAGGCUGGCACCCCGACCUCAGACUUCUAUUCUCCAGAACUGUGAGAAAAUAAAUUUCCAUCAUUUAAACCACCCAGUCUACAGUAUUUUGCUAUGACAGCCAAAGAAUACAGGCCCUCAAGCAAACUAACUAAAAUAGUAUCUAUUAUUAACAUUUUGGUAAAUAUGUAUAAAGAAGUAAGAAAUGUUUUAUAAGAAUUUUUUAAUUUUUAUAAUUUUAUGACUGUGAAUAAAAACAUCUUUAAAAAUUGACUCAUUUUUAUUGAUCUGUAAUAAACAUUCUAAGAAAACUGGUGUUCAUGCUAUGCAACCCUAGCUUCAAAAGACUUACUCUUGCCUCCUGCCAAUAAGAUUAUUGCUCUGAAAUUUCUCCUAAUAACAGAAAAUCCCAGAAUUACCACUCUUCAAGUUCCAACAUAAAUGCUGCUGCUUCUCUUAAAUUUUUCACAUUCUCUGCUCUAGUCUCCCUCUUCUGCACUACCACAGUACUUAAUUUAAAUAUGUAAUUUAUCAUAUUUCACCUUGUAAUUUCCUUGACUUUUGCAUAUGCCUGCUCCUCCACUAGGGGACAUAGAUCUUGAGAGCAAGGGUCAUGCUAUCCAUUUUAGAUUUCUCUAAUGUCCACCGUGAUGUUUUGUCAGUAGUGAGUAUAUAUUGGUAGAUGUGUGAAAGAAUGAAUUAAUUAUUGAAUGAAUGGACGGAUAAAUGAAGAAACUGACUAUUUAUUUAUUUAUUUAUUUACCAUUUUGUCUCAUGUAUCUUCAUAGCAUCUGUGAGAAUUGCCUUUUCACCAUCAUGCCUCCCCUUGAUGGCGCACUUAUGAAAGAAAAAGUGUUAAUAAAAAGAGAAAUGG
This is a long non-coding RNA of Macaca mulatta (Rhesus monkey), 1554 nucleotides long. RefSeq lists it as uncharacterized. NCBI's taxonomy places the organism in Eukaryota, Metazoa, Chordata, Mammalia, Primates, Cercopithecidae. The record is from RefSeq and is a predicted model, not a curated record.